This 814-nucleotide ribosomal RNA is filed under the name uncultured archaeon. RNAcentral describes it as "bacterial SSU rRNA". It matches the Rfam family "Archaeal small subunit ribosomal RNA", at positions 52 to 872 of the family's 1478-position model. The record is from RNAcentral.
UGCGAGUCAUUGUAGCAAUACAAGGCAGACGGCUCAGUAACGCGUAGUCAAUCUACCCUAUGGACGGGAAUAACCUCGGGAAACUGAGAAUAAUGCCCGACAGAACAUUAUACCUGGAACGGUUUAUGUUUCAAAUGAUUUAUCGCCGUAGGAUGGGACUGCGGCCUAUCAGUUUGUUGGUGAGGUAAUGGCCCACCAAGACUAUUACAGGUACGGGCUCUGAGAGGAGUAGCCCGGAGAUGGGUACUGAGACACGGACCCAGGCCCUAUGGGGCGCAGCAGGCGAGAAAACUUUGCAAUGUGCGAAAGCACGACAAGGUUAAUCCGAGUGGUUUCUGCUAAAGAAACCUUUUGCUAGUCCUAGAAACACUAGUGAAUAAGGGGUGGGCAAGUUCUGGUGUCAGCCGCCGCGGUAAAACCAGCACCUCAAGUGGUCAGGAUGAUUAUUGGGCCUAAAGCAUCCGUAGCUCGUUUUGUAAGUUUUCGGUUAAAUCCAUACGCUUAACGUAUGGGCUGCCGGGAAUACUGCAUAACUAGAAAGUGGGAGAGGUAGACGGUACUCGGUAGGAAGGGGUAAAAUCCUUUGAUCUAUUGAUGACCACCUGUGGCGAAGGCGGUCUACCAGAACACGUUCGACGGUGAGGGAUGAAAGCUGGGGGAGCAAACCGGAUUAGAUACCCGGGUAGUCCCAGCUGUAAACUAUGCAAACUCAGUGAUGCAUUGGCUUGUGGCCAAUGCAGUGCUGCAGGGAAGCCGUUAAGUUUACCGCCUGGGAAGUACGUACGCAAGUAUGAAACUUAAAGGAAUUGGCGGG